GGUGUCAAAUGGGCCGUCCGGACGGAUUUGGAUAUGUCCAGAUGGACUUUUUUUUUGGGCAUUUUUGGCCGAAGCCCAAAUAAUUCCAUUACCAAAUAGGACCAUUACCAAAUAGGACCAUGUCCAAUUGGACUGUCCAUGAAGUCCAGAUGUCCACUUAAUGUAAAAAAUCUAAUUUUCAAUUUAAAAGAUGUACAGAUUCUAAAUGUCAAAUAUAACAUUUUGAACUUACUUAAACUUCAUGUUUUAACAAAAGAUACUUCAAGUUUUAAACUUAAACUCCAUAUCUUACAAAAGGUACUUAACAAAAGAUACUUAAAGUCUUAAACUUAAAAUCCAUAUCUUACAAAAGCCAAAAGAUAAAGUCUUAAACUUAAACUCCAUGUCUUCACUUACUUCUCUUCUUUC
Molecule: long non-coding RNA, 408 nt
Filed under: Brassica napus (rape)
Lineage: Eukaryota; Viridiplantae; Streptophyta; Magnoliopsida; Brassicales; Brassicaceae
Description: long non-coding RNA (BNAP_LNC010469)
Source: RNAcentral